CCUACGGGUGGCAGCAGUGAGGAAUAUUGGUCAAUGGACGCAAGUCUGAACCAGCCAUGCCGCGUGCAGGAUGAAGGCUCUAUGAGUUGUAAACUGCUUUUGUACGAGGGUAAACCCCGAUACGUGUACCGGGAUGAAAGUAUCGUACGAAUAAGGAUCGGCGAACUCCGUGCCAGCAGCCGCGGUAAUACGGAGGAUCCGAGCGUUAUCCGGAUUUAUUGGGUGUAAAGGGUGCGUAGGCGGUUUGGUAAGUUAGAGGUGAAAUGUCGGGGCUCAACCCCGAGACUGCCUCUAAUACUGUGGGACUAGAGAAAAGGUGAGGUAGGCGGAAUGUAUGGUGUAGCGGUGAAAUGCGUAGAGAUCAUAAAGAACACCGGUUGCGAAGGCAGCUUACCAGACUAUAUCUGACGUUGAGGCACGAAAGCGUGGGGAGCAAACAGGAUUAGAUACUCCAGUAGUC
Molecule: ribosomal RNA, 460 nt
Filed under: uncultured bacterium
Lineage: Bacteria
Description: partial 16S ribosomal RNA
Rfam family: Bacterial small subunit ribosomal RNA
Source: RNAcentral